Molecule: ribosomal RNA, 465 nt
Filed under: Vreelandella stevensii
Lineage: Bacteria; Pseudomonadati; Pseudomonadota; Gammaproteobacteria; Oceanospirillales; Halomonadaceae
Description: partial 16S ribosomal RNA
Rfam family: Bacterial small subunit ribosomal RNA
Source: RNAcentral
CCUACGGGAGGCAGCAGUGGGGAAUAUUGGACAAUGGGCGAAAGCCUGAUCCAGCCAUGCCGCGUGUGUGAAGAAGGCCUUCGGGUUGUAAAGCACUUUCAGUGGGGAAGAAAGCCUUGGGGCUAAUACCCUCGAGGAAGGACAUCACCCACAGAAGAAGCACCGGCUAACUCCGUGCCAGCAGCCGCGGUAAUACGGAGGGUGCGAGCGUUAAUCGGAAUUACUGGGCGUAAAGCGCGCGUAGGCGGUCUGAUAAGCCGGUUGUGAAAGCCCCGGGCUCAACCUGGGAACGGCAUCCGGAACUGUCAGGCUAGAGUGCAGGAGAGGAAGGUAGAAUUCCCGGUGUAGCGGUGAAAUGCGUAGAGAUCGGGAGGAAUACCAGUGGCGAAGGCGGCCUUCUGGACUGACACUGACGCUGAGGUACGAAAGCGUGGGUAGCAAACAGGAUUAGAUACCCCAGUAGUC